UAGGGAAUCUUCGGGCAAUGGACGAAAGUCUGACCGAGCAACGCCGCGUGAGUGAAGAAGGUUUUCGGAUCGUAAAACUCUGUUGGUAGAGAAGAACGUUGGUGAGAGUGGAAAGCUCAUCAAGUGACGGUAACUACCCAGAAAGGGACGGCUAACUACGUGCAG
RNAcentral lists this ribosomal RNA (165 nucleotides) under uncultured bacterium. Its description in RNAcentral is "partial 16S rRNA". It matches the Rfam family "Bacterial small subunit ribosomal RNA", at positions 355 to 510 of the family's 1533-position model. The record is from RNAcentral.